RNAcentral lists this transfer RNA (75 nucleotides) under Streptococcus downei. RNAcentral describes it as "tRNA-His(gtg)". It matches the Rfam family "tRNA". Rfam says of the family: Transfer RNA (tRNA) molecules are approximately 80 nucleotides in length. Lineage: Bacteria; Bacillati; Bacillota; Bacilli; Lactobacillales; Streptococcaceae. The record is from RNAcentral. RNAcentral also lists the same sequence under 1 other name.
GGCGAAUGUGGUGAAGUGGUUAACACACCAGAUUGUGGCUCUGGCAUGCGUGGGUUCGAUCCCCAUCAUUCGCCU